GACGAACGCUGGCGGCGUGCUUAACACAUGCAAGUCGAACGGGAUUUAGUAGACAGAAGCCUCGGCUAAAGAUUACUAAUGAGAGUGGCGAACGGGUGAGUAACGCGUGAGCAACCUGCCUAUGACAGUGGGAUAGCCUCGGGAAACCGGGAUUAAUACCGCAUAAAAUCGUAGAAACACAUGUUUUAACGGUCAAAGAUUUAUUGGUCAUAGAUGGGCUCGCGUCUGAUUAGCUAGUUGGUGAGAUAACAGCCCACCAAGGCGACGAUCAGUAGCCGGUCUGAGAGGAUGAACGGCCACAUUGGAACUGAGACACGGUCCAAACUCCUACGGGAGGCAGCAGUGGGGAAUAUUGCACAAUGGGGGAAACCCUGAUGCAGCGACGCCGCGUGAACGAAGAAGGUAUUCGUAUCGUAAAGUUCUGUCCUAUGGGAAGAUAAUGACAGUACCAUAGAAGAAAGCUCCGGCUAAAUACGUG
This 478-nucleotide ribosomal RNA is filed under the name uncultured bacterium. RNAcentral's name for it is "partial 16S ribosomal RNA". It matches the Rfam family "Bacterial small subunit ribosomal RNA", at positions 28 to 507 of the family's 1533-position model. The record is from RNAcentral.